Molecule: ribosomal RNA, 494 nt
Filed under: uncultured bacterium
Lineage: Bacteria
Description: partial 16S ribosomal RNA
Rfam family: Bacterial small subunit ribosomal RNA
Source: RNAcentral
GACGAACGCUGGCGGCGUGCUUAACACAUGCAAGUCGAACGGAAAGGCCUGCUUUCCCUUGUGGAUUGCGGGUACUCGAGUGGCGAACGGGUGAGUAACACGUGAGUGAUCUUCCCCCAACUUGGGUAUAAGCCUGGGAAACUGGGUCUAAUUCCCGAUAGUACUGCAGGGUGGUGCCUGUGGUGGAAAACGGUGUUCUAGUGGUUGGGGAUGAGCUCGCUGCCUAUCAGCUGGUUGGUGGGGUACUGGCCUACCAAGGCGGGGACGGGUAGCCAGCCUGAGAGGGGGGACGGUCACAUUGGGACGGGGGUCCGGCCCAGACGCGUACGGGAGGCAGGAGUGGGGAAUAUAGGACAAUGGGCGUAAUCCUGAUGCAGCGACGCCGCGUGGGGGACGACGGCGUUGGGGUUGUAUACUGCUGUGGACCACGAGGAAGCCACCUGGUUGGAAGGGUGGUGACGGUAGUGGUAGAAGAAGCACCGGCUAACUACGUG